CGCAUCUGUGCAUGCAGCAUAUCAAUAAGCGGAGGAAAAGAAACUAACAAGGAUUCCCUUCAGUAACGGCGAGUGAAGCGGGAAGAGCUCAAAUUUGAAAUCUUGCAAGGUUUACCUUGACGAAUUGUAGUUUAAAGAAGUGUUUUCUGCUGAAGAUUUGGUAAUAAGUUCUUUGGAAUAGGACAUCAUAGAGGGUGAGAAUCCCGUCUAUGAUUGCGAUUUGUAGCUUUGUGAUACACUUUCAAAGAGUCGGGUUGUUUGGGAAUGCAAGCCCAAAACGGGAGGUAAAUUUCUUCUAAGGCUAAAUAUUGGCGAGAGACCGAUAGCGAACAAGUACCGUGAGGGAAAGAUGAAAAGAACUUUGAAAAGAGAGUUAAACAGUACGUGAAAUUGUCAAAAGGGAAGCGUUUGACACCAGUGUUGUUUUCUCGAAAAUCAAUUAAAAAUGGCUCGAUUUUGUAUUGCUGAGACCUUAAAAGCUCACUGUACAUUUUUCGUGUCUUUUUUAAUGCACUUUUCGUUUAACAAGUCAACAUCAGUUUCUUUUGUUGUAAAAGGGUCAUUGGAAGGUGGCUUUCUUUUCGGAGAAAGUGUUUAUAGCCUUUGGCCUCUGCAAUCGAAGAGACUGAGGUCUGCAGCGUAGACUCUUCGGGGUUAGAUACAUUUGUGCUAAGUUAUAGCUUUUUAUAGACAACUUGUUGACUAUAAUUAGUCUUGUAGCUUACUCGCUUAUGCUAUUUUACCUACGCUUAGGAUGUUGACGAUCAGCUGAGCGCG
Molecule: ribosomal RNA, 777 nt
Filed under: uncultured Neocallimastigales
Lineage: Eukaryota; Fungi; Neocallimastigomycota; Neocallimastigomycetes; Neocallimastigales
Description: partial large subunit ribosomal RNA
Rfam family: Eukaryotic large subunit ribosomal RNA
Source: RNAcentral